This 29-nucleotide non-coding RNA is filed under the name Rattus norvegicus (Norway rat). The record is from RNAcentral. Lineage: Eukaryota; Metazoa; Chordata; Mammalia; Rodentia; Muridae.
UGAAAAAGUGAAUUGGGUUAGCAGAGAGA